This 89-nucleotide transfer RNA is filed under the name Halimeda discoidea. RNAcentral's name for it is "tRNA-Ser". It matches the Rfam family "tRNA". Rfam says of the family: Transfer RNA (tRNA) molecules are approximately 80 nucleotides in length. Their secondary structure includes four short double-helical elements and three loops (D, anti-codon, and T loops). The record is from RNAcentral. Lineage: Eukaryota; Viridiplantae; Chlorophyta; Ulvophyceae; Bryopsidales; Halimedaceae.
AGGAAAGGUGGCAGAGUGGUUGAAUGCAUCAGUUUUGAAAACUGUCGUAAUGAUUUCAUUACCGGGGGUUCGAAUCCCCCUCUUUCCUU